CAGGAUGAACGCUGGCGGCGUGCCUAACACAUGCAAGUCGAGCGGGAAUCAUCUGAUUGAAACUUCGGUAGAUAGAGGAUGAGGAUAGCGGCGGACGGGUGAGUAACGCGUAGGUAACCUGCCCCUUACACAGGGAUAGCCUCGGGAAACUGGGAUUAAUACCUGAUAAUGCGAAGGAGUCACAUGGCUUCAUCGCCAAAGAUUUAUCGGUGAGGGAUGGACCUGCGUCUGAUUAGCUUGUUGGUGAGGUAACGGCCCACCAAGGCAACGAUCAGUAGCCGACCUGAGAGGGUAAUCGGCCACAUUGGAACUGAGACACGGUCCAAACUCCUACGGGAGGCAGCAGUGGGGAAUAUUGCACAAUGGGCGCAAGCCUGAUGCAAGCAACGCCGCGUGAGCGAAGAAGGUCUUCGGAUCGUAAAGCUCUGUCCUCAGGAACGAAGAAGUGACGGUACCUGAGGAGGAAGCCCCGGCUAACUACGUGCCAGCCGCUGC
Molecule: ribosomal RNA, 495 nt
Filed under: uncultured bacterium
Lineage: Bacteria
Description: bacterial SSU rRNA
Rfam family: Bacterial small subunit ribosomal RNA
Source: RNAcentral